RNAcentral lists this ribosomal RNA (33 nucleotides) under Donax trunculus (truncated wedgeshell). RNAcentral's name for it is "partial 18S ribosomal RNA". The record is from RNAcentral. Lineage: Eukaryota; Metazoa; Mollusca; Bivalvia; Cardiida; Donacidae.
GUUUGCGUAGGUGAACCUGCGGAUGGAUCAUUG